CCUACGGGUGGCAGCAGUGAGGAAUAUUGGUCAAUGGACGAGAGUCUGAACCAGCCAAGUAGCGUGAAGGAUGACUGCCCUAUGGGUUGUAAACUUCUUUUAUAAAGGAAUAAAACGAGGCACGUGUGCCUUUUUGCAUGUACUUUAUGAAUAAGGAUCGGCUAACUCCGUGCCAGCAGCAGCGGUAAUACGGAGGAUCCGAGCGUUAUCCGGAUUUAUUGGGUUUAAAGGGAGCGUAGAUGGGUUGUUAAGUCAGUUGUGAAAGUUUGCGGCUCAACCGUAAAAUUGCAAUUGAUACUGGCAGUCGUGAGUACAGUUGAGGUAGGCGGAAUUCGUGGUGUAGCGGUGAAAUGCUUAGAUAUCACGAAGAACCCCGAUUGCGAAGGCAGCUUACUAAACUGUGACUGACAUUGAUGCUCGAAAGUGUGGGUAUCAAACAGGAUUAGAUACCCCAGUAGUC
This 460-nucleotide ribosomal RNA is filed under the name uncultured bacterium. RNAcentral describes it as "partial 16S ribosomal RNA". It matches the Rfam family "Bacterial small subunit ribosomal RNA", at positions 338 to 795 of the family's 1533-position model. The record is from RNAcentral.